Non-coding RNA from Cinara cedri, 309 nucleotides. The record is from the annotation of a GenBank genome assembly. Lineage: Eukaryota; Metazoa; Arthropoda; Insecta; Hemiptera; Aphididae.
CGUUUCGAUAAUAAUUAUUGUCGCGAUGACGCGCCGAAACAAUAAUAAUAAUACGGAUAAUGAUAAUGGCGAUUACAGUAUUGCGACCUUCGAGCGAACAACAAUACCGUACGUAAUAACAAUAAUAAUAAUAAUAAUGAUAAUAGUAAUGAAGCACGUAUACCGCGACGAUAUCGGAACGGCGGCGGCGUAACCGAAAAAAACGCGGUUUCGCGAGAAAAAACAUACGGUUUUAAGCGAUAUUUUUAAUUUUUUUUUCCGCUCCAAACAAAUAGGCUGAAGAACCGUAGACGCGUAACGGUAUACAGG